RNAcentral lists this unclassified non-coding RNA (374 nucleotides) under soil metagenome. Its description in RNAcentral is "partial contains internal transcribed spacer 2 and large subunit ribosomal RNA". The stretch from base 1 to 120 matches the Rfam family "5.8S ribosomal RNA", at positions 35 to 154 of the family's 154-position model. The record is from RNAcentral.
GAUGAAGAACGUAGCGAAAUGCGAUAAUUAAUGUGAAUUGCAGAAUUCCGUGAAUCAUCGAGUCUUUGAACGCACAUUGCGCCUCAUGGCAUUCCGUGAGGCAUGCCCAUCUCAGCGUUAGAAAAUAUUCUCAAAUUUUAGUUUUGUGCUAAAAUUUGGAUGAUGUCAAGGAAGCUAUUACUAUUAUUGUGAUCGCUCUUUGGAAAUUGAUAGGUCUUUGAGUUGCUACUCAUAGAACGUGAUGAAUCUUUCUUCGUUCUAUUGUAAUUCACUCUGGUAGUCCUAAAACUUGUAUGCCUGUGGCAUAUCUUGUAAUUUGACCUGAGAUUGGGUAGGGAUACCCGCUGAACUUAAGCAUAUCAAUAAGCGGAGGA